UUUUCAUUUCAGCUUUCUCUCUCUACCCGAGAGCUUCUCUCUCUACCUCUCACCUGAAAUGGCCGCUGCCGCACCGUCGCCGGAAUCCCAAUCCUCACCAAAAUUUCCAGAUUUUCUUCUCUUCAUCCCCUCUUUCCAUUUCUCCAACCAAAAUCAUGAAAUUUAGCCAUUUAACCCUCCAAAAACCCUAGAACCCGAAGCUAAAAUUGGGGCUUUUGUGAUUUCUUCUUUCCAAGUUCAAAUCAAGCUAGGCUACGGGUUUGACAAUGAUUUAUGGUGAAGAAGGCCAAGGAGGAGGAUUUGGCCGUGAGUUUUGAAGAAGAAAUGGAAACACGAUCGUUAAGGAAGCUUAAGCGGAAAGCAUCAGAGUGUGGAAUACGCCGGCAUUUUCCAGGUUACAACGAGGUCAUUCCGGACGAUUUGGAUUAGAAGUGAGUCGUUGGCCGAGUCUGUGUAUUGCUGUUCCUGUUGCUUGAAGUUCUUCCCAUUUGGUACUCUAUCGAUUUACUAGCUUUUCUUUCAAUGUUGAACUCUGUGAGGUCCGCCUACCUGGGAGCGCGCCUCACCCCGUUGUCUUAUUGUUGUUGUUGAACUCCCCUUUCAUUUCGGUUAUGAUGUAAGCCCCAAGGCAUCACAGUGCACUUGCUCACUUUAUUUUGUUGCAUUUCCAGACUUGUUAAUUUGAAUGUUGGGUUGUUGAUUUA
Long non-coding RNA from Rosa rugosa (rugosa rose), 704 nucleotides. RefSeq lists it as uncharacterized. The transcript has 5 exons. The record is from RefSeq and is a predicted model, not a curated record. Lineage: Eukaryota; Viridiplantae; Streptophyta; Magnoliopsida; Rosales; Rosaceae.